CCGGAGAAGGAGCAUGAGAAACGGCUACUAUUUCUAAGGAAAGCAGCAGGCGCGCAAAUUAUUCAAUGGAAACAAUUUUCCGAAAUAGUGACAAAAAAUAUCAAUGCUGGAUACUAUGUAUCUAGUAAUUGGAAUGAGUACAAUUUAAAUCCCUUAACAAGUAACAAUUAGAGGGCAAGUCUGGUGCCAGCAGCCGCGGUAAUUCCAGCUCUAAUAGCGUAUAUUAAUAUUGUUGCAGUUAAAAAGCUCGUAGUUGAAAUUUGGGACUUUAUUAUAUUGGUUAAUCUUUUGAUGAACUGUAUGAUGGGUUUUCUUCCUACUUAGAAUUCGAUUCUGUUCUUAAUUGAAUGGAGUAGCUAUCUCUCGGGGUGGUCAAUUGGUUGUUAUGUCUCCACUAAUGAGCGGA
Molecule: ribosomal RNA, 406 nt
Filed under: uncultured eukaryote
Lineage: Eukaryota
Description: bacterial SSU rRNA
Rfam family: Eukaryotic small subunit ribosomal RNA
Source: RNAcentral